AAUAUUGGACAAUGGGGGCAACCCUGAUCCAGCCAUGCCGCGUGUGUGAAGAAGGUCUUCGGAUUGUAAAGCACUUUAAGUUGGGAGGAAGAGUUGUAGGCUAAUACCUUGCAAUUUUGACGUUACCAACAGAAUAAGCACCGGCUAACUUCGUGCCAGCAGCCGCGGUAAUACGUAGGGGGCAAGCGUUGUCCGGAAUUAUUGGGCGUAAAGGGUGCGUAGGCGGCCUUUUAAGUCAGAUGUGAAAGCCCACGGCUUAACCGUGGGGUUGCAGUUGAAACUGGAAGGCUUGAGUAUCGGAGAGGGUAGUGGAAUUCCCAGUGUAGCGGUGAAAUGCGUAGAUAUUGGGAGGAACACCAGUGGCGAAGGCGACUACCUGGACGAAAACUGACGCUGAUGCACGAAAGCUAGGGGAGCAAACA
RNAcentral lists this ribosomal RNA (422 nucleotides) under uncultured bacterium. Its description in RNAcentral is "partial 16S ribosomal RNA". It matches the Rfam family "Bacterial small subunit ribosomal RNA", at positions 360 to 774 of the family's 1533-position model. The record is from RNAcentral.